AGAACCACAGAAGCAGCGAGUCAGACUAUUCUUACAUAGUACAUAGAUCAUGCAGAGGAUUUCCAUCCUGUUUCUUCAGGAAUAUACUCUUUUUCCUUGUGUUUCCUGCUCCAAUAUCCUUGUCAAGGAAAGGCCAUUUUUUUAUUACUGCAGAAUGUACUAACUAGAAGAGCAUCCUCUCUGUUGCAAAGCGAUUCGUCUGGAUUACCCUAGUAAACAUUCUGCUCCCAUGGGUAGAGGCCACUCCCAGCUGAAAAACCAAAGUGUGGGACAUUAUAUCACAGACAUACGUGCUCUGAUUCCUUCAUUUCAUUGGUCUCCUUCGACUGUUUAUUGUAGCGCUGAAUACCUUCUGUCUGAUGUCCUUCCAAGAACAAUCCAGCUAAAAGGAAUGCAAUGGCCACCUUAACUUUGAAAUCAACAUUUUUCCUCUGAUAAGGAGCCAUCAUACAUUUCUUCUCUGAAAAGUUAAGAAUGGAAUCAGGACUGUUCCAAGAAAUAUAAUUCUAUUAGACACAGGAAUACUUUUGUGCAAGGAAGAGAAAGCCCACUACAUAAAUAUUGGACCCCAGUUCCCUUAAGAACUUUUCACAUGUCUAGAAUCCAAUUUUAUUUCAAUAUAAAUAAAGCAGAUUUUAUAUGCAUA
Long non-coding RNA from Protobothrops mucrosquamatus (brown spotted pit viper), 646 nucleotides. RefSeq lists it as uncharacterized. NCBI's taxonomy places the organism in Eukaryota, Metazoa, Chordata, Lepidosauria, Squamata, Viperidae. The record is from RefSeq and is a predicted model, not a curated record. The transcript has 3 exons.